Long non-coding RNA from Homo sapiens (human), 348 nucleotides. The record is from Ensembl. NCBI's taxonomy places the organism in Eukaryota, Metazoa, Chordata, Mammalia, Primates, Hominidae.
CUUGCCUGCUCAGGCCAGCACUUCCCAUGAUCUGAGAUGUCCGUCCUCCUUCCUCUUCAACUUUUUCUCCAGCAGUGAGUUCCUCCUCCUAACUCAGGCUUCCAGGAAGGAUAUCCUUGGCUUCUCAGACCUGAACCUGCCUCGAAUACUCAUGAGGACCCAGGAGCUACUCCUCACCUCCCACUUCUCUUCUAUCCUGUCAGAUAACCAAGGCACGGCCAACUGAUCCUCCACCAUCCGAGGAACCCGAUCGUGUGGGAACCGCUGAGCAGCACAUCCUCCCCCAGCAGGAAAUCCGGGACACGCAGGAGCCUCAGUGAAUCCGACCAUUGUCUCAUCUCACCAGGC